GCGCUGUCAGAGCUGGAAAGAGCGCAAAAACACCCAACCGCGGUGAAAUGUCACAAUUCUUGUUCCUACAGUUACAGCACAAACAAAACAUUAAUGCAAACACUCCAUGCACUACUUCAUAACAUAAUAAUCAUUACACUGGUCUUUGUCUUGUCGAUAUUAUUAUUUGUUCAUUUUAUUUAUUUAUUCAUUUAUUUUUUGAUGACUACAUACUGGACACACUGUGGAGACUGCACACAUACAUGAACUGAUCUAUUCAAAUUUGUCUAUUCUGCCCUUUUACAUAAUACCAUAAUUUUUCUGACUAUGUAGUCAUAUAAUAUAACCCUCUUGCUUUAAUUUCACACUGAGGCCUAAACUCUGCUCCUAGCUUGCCUAAAAUCACUCUCAAUCACAAUCAAAUUCACAAUCACUGAAUUUUACUUCUUAUUUCUACUUCAGCUUUUUUAAGUACAGUAUAUAUCAAAUACUUUGAGACGUUUUGCUUAAUUAUCAUAAAAGGUGUUAUAUUAUUAUAUAUGCUGAAAUAUUCUACCAAAAUCUUUUUCUAGUAUGAUACUUGCACUUUUAUUCAAGUAUUGUUUUCUACUACUUUAUACAAUACUGGUGUCAUGCUUACUUACCUCUGUUCUUUACUUACCCACACACCACACUUUUACUACAUCAAACAGCAACCUGAAUCAUCAUUCGGUUCAGCAAUGUCCAUGACUGAUCCAUACACAGUUUGCACAUUACCGUGCACUUAUCACGUGUGUGCUUGUGUGUUUACGUACACUAAUCAAGUGUAUACUUAUUUUCUACUUGUGGGUUCAUAUAUUUAUCUAUGUACACACGUACACUUAUCACGUGUGUGCUUAUUUUCUACUUGUGGGUUCAUAUAUUUAUCUAUGUACACACGUACACUUAUCACCGUGUACUUAUAUUGUGUACUUAUAUUGUGUAUUUAUCUUGUGUAUUUAUCUAUGUACAUACACUUAUCACAUACAUAUAUUAUCCACUUAUUAUCAUAUUCAGAUUAUUAUACACAGAUUAUCAUCUACAGAUUAUCAUCUACAGAUUAUCAUCUACAGAUUAUCAUCUACAGAUUAUCAUAUACAAAUGAUCAUAUACAAAUGAUCAUAUACAAAUGAUCAUAUACAAAUGAUCAUAUACAAAUUAUCAUCUACACAAUACCGGGGGCCCCCCUUUUUCACCGUCCCUACCAAGCAGACCUGUCUCAACCAACAGCGGUAUCUAGGAACUAACGCGUUUUUACCACCUGCCGUCCUGCCCCGGUCCGUGAGUCCGUGCCGUCCUGCCCCGGCCCAGUACACACACCGGAGGAUACGCUCCAGGAAUUUUAUCGUGCACUUUACCACCUGCCGUCCUGCCCCGGUCGUGAGUUUAAUAGCACUCACGCCGGAGGAUACGCUCCAGGAAUUUUAUCAUGCGCUUUACUACCACCUGCCGUCCUGCCCCGGUCGUGAGUCCGCGCCGUCCUGCCCCGGUCCAGUACUCACACCGGAGGAUACGCUCCAGGAAUUUUAUCCAGGCCUAACUACUACAUAGUACACUCAUGAGAUUUUUCACACACACACACACACAGUCACACAUCAAAACCUUAUCCUGUUAUGUGGCUUUCCCUUUGUUAUUUCUCAUCCAGCUCUUUAUCUCACCCUUAGGGGUUCUUAUCUCGAGGGUGUCUGUCUGCUCUCCUUCCCCCGGGGCCAAUCCCCCCUUUCAGGCCACAGAUUCACUAUACACAGACAUUUGAGUUUAACAGGCGUCUGCUCACCUUGUUAUUUAUGGCCGGCCUCUGUAGCCUGUCAGAGAGAGCGGUCCCGGUUCUGGAGGCAGUUCACACCGUCCCUGCAGAGGUCGCUUCGUGGUCGCCAUUAAAUAUGUGGGAACUUAGAGCCCGUCUCCAAGUCGGCACAUAUCAGGGUGAAUUAUACUGAUAUACUUUAUAAUACUUUUAUACUAUAUAAUUGUUACUUAAACUUAAUUUACUGAUAGCACUAACAUUAAUACGACUUAAAACAAUGGGAAAGCUCCUCAGACCUGGAUGAGAAUGAGCAAACUUCUUUAUUGUGGUCAAUCAGCCAACAAUUCUCUAAGAGAAAUUGCUAAUUUGAAAAGUAACAAAAGAAAUCCCAAAAACCCAAGAAAAGAAAAAGCAUCUUCAUGAAGAGCAUUGGCAUGCAAAAACAAAAAAACCCUCAGGACGGUCCUGCAGAGUAACGGGAUUUUUUACGCAUACCUUUUUUGACUUCAAAAUUCUCCUCUAUAUAUACGCUUCCAAGAGCCUCCUUAUCGGUCCCCCUCCUUACAGACCCAUUUUCAUAUCACCUUAUCCUUAUAUCUCAUAUGUUUUUGUAACGUCCUGUUCCUUACAAUCCCCUUGUUUUUCCUUUACCUUUUGCCCAUAUGCCCAUUUAUGGAUUUUCCUCUCCUUAGUUCCCCGGGGCCCAGAUCCGGAAGCCCCGGCCUGUGGCCCUGGGUCUUCUUCAUCCGACAUAACAAUUAUAUCUAAACAACAAUUUUGUUAUUAAAAGUGUGCUUUAAAAAAAGAGCCUCACUCCCUGGUCGAAGUUACUGUACAUUUGCCUCUAAGUUUUUCCAUGCCAGACGUCCUGAAGAUUAAUCCUUCAUUCAGCUACAAUGGACCCUUCGCCUCCAGGUCAGUCAGCUCAUCCUAGUCGCCCUAUCAGGUCUUCGCCUCACCAUCCUCGUCCUUCUCCCUACCCCAGGCCAGUACCCGCUGAAGUCAUGGAGACCUAUCGCCGCUUCCAGCUACUUCAUAUCACCUAUGAGCUCAUUACGUGUCUGGAACAGCUCUGUUCUAUGGCCCUGAGUCCCCUGUUUACACUCUUUCUUCUCCUGUCUGCUGAGUUACUAUAAUAAAGAGUCCCUCUUUUAUUCA
This is a long non-coding RNA of Tachysurus vachellii, 2902 nucleotides long. RefSeq lists it as uncharacterized. The record is from RefSeq and is a predicted model, not a curated record. The transcript is spliced from 2 exons. Lineage: Eukaryota; Metazoa; Chordata; Actinopteri; Siluriformes; Bagridae.